This is a long non-coding RNA of Hypanus sabinus (Atlantic stingray), 2187 nucleotides long. RefSeq lists it as uncharacterized. The transcript is spliced from 3 exons. Lineage: Eukaryota; Metazoa; Chordata; Chondrichthyes; Myliobatiformes; Dasyatidae. The record is from RefSeq and is a predicted model, not a curated record.
CAUAUUUUUUUUUAAAAAUACCGAAAACAUGCAUUGUAAGAGGUCCUUGAAAGUGAGUCUGCAGAUCACGGAAUCAGUGAUCAGAGCAGUGCUGGGUGAAGUUAUCCACGCCAGUUCAGGAGCCUGUUGGGUAGUAAGUGUUCCUGAACCUGGUGGUGUGGCACCUAAGGCCUAAUGGCAGUAGCAAGAAGAGAGCAUGGUCUGGAUGGUGGGGUCUUUGAUGAUGGAUGUUUUCUCGUGGCGGCACUCCUUGUAAAUGGUCUCAAUGGGGGGGGUGGGGGGGGCGGGGGUUUCCUGGGAUGGUCUAACAGAAACACAAAAAGCUUCUGCAGAUGCUGGAAAUCAGGAGUAACACACCGUCCAUGAAGGGCCUUGGCCCAAAAUGUCAGCCAUACGGAUGCUGCCUGACCCACUGAGCUCCUCCUGCAUCUUAUGCCGAUCGCUCUAUCAACUGCACUUGAGGUUACUGAGUUCAGCUUUAACUUUUAACAGUGGCAUCUGUACACAAAAGCUAGACAAGGGAGCGUGCCUACGCGAGAACCUCAGCGGAUCAGGCAGGCACCUGCGCGGGGAAGCAGCUGUCAAAGUUUCAGACUGAAACCCUGUGGCAGCACCAGUUCCAAGCAAGCAAAUUUCAAAAAAAAAUCAGCUGACAGCAACGCCCAACAUCAAACUCCUGUGAUUCGCUCAAGCCCAGCGAAUGACCGAACCCAGUCUUUCAGCACCAACGACUUGCAGCUCGAGAGCAGUAGCGCAUUUAAAAAAUGGCUGCUGUUCUGCAAGCGCAAGGACAGGAGCUCUUGCACAAGAGAGGCGGCAGAGGCUGGGAAUCCAGAGCAGCACACUAACAUACAAUCAACAGGCAGGAGCACUUGCUGCAACAAUGCCCCAACAAAACGGGCACCAGACGGGUCAGAAGUGGAGAGAGUGAGCAGUUUCAAGUUCCUGGGUGUCAAUAUCUCCAAGGAUCUAACCUGGUCCCAGCAUAUCGAUGCAGCUACAAAGAAGGCAAGACAGUGGCUAUAUUUCAUUUGGAGUUCAAGGAGAUUUGGUUUGUCACCUAAAACACUCAAAAACUUCCAACAGGUUGUAAACUCAUUCAGCUCCAUCAUGGGCACCAGCCUGCGUAAUAUCCAGGACAUCUUCAAGGAGCAGAGUUUCAGAAAGGCAGAAUCCAUCAUUAAGGACCCCCACCACCCAGGACAUGCCCUCUACUCAUUGCUACCAUCAGGGAGGAGGUACAGGAGCCUGAAGACACACACUCAGCGAUUCAGGAACAGCUUCUUCCCCUCUGCCAUCAGGGAGGAGGUACAGGAGCCUGAAGACACACACUCAACGAUUCAGGAACAGCUUCUUCCCCUCUGCCAUCAGGGAGGAGGUACAGGAGCCUGAAGACACACACUCAACGAUUCAGGAACAGCUUCUUCCCCUCUGUCAUCAGGGAGAGGAGGUACAGGAGCCUGAAGACACACACUCAACGAUUCAAGAACAGCUUCUUCCCCUCUGCUGUCCGAUUUCUGAACAGACACUGAGACCAUGAACACCACCUCUGCCUUUUCAUUUCUGUUCCUGCACUACUUAUUUUAAACCUGAGGUAUUAACAGCCAACCAGGUACCAAAACGGCCGGAGCAGAGCGCGCAAGACCAGAAUGAGCCAGCGAGGCUGACGGCCACCUGCAGGAGAGGCGGCGAGCGGCAGCCAUCGCUGCUCAUCGAAGGAGGAAAGCAGUAUCAGCGGCUCCGCUUCCAGACCCAGCACAGUCCUCACUGCGGCCGUCAACGACGCUCACAGCUCAGGACUCGGCAGCCACUGACCAACAGGCAACUGAACGGCACAAACCUCAGACGGGGUGGACAACCAAUCAAUCAAAUCAAUAAAUCACAUCGACUGAGCCCGGAAUCAUUUACUGGCCAGACCGAUUUUCUGUCUUUGAGGUUACCGAGAAAGCAAGAUGUGCGUUCAUAGUUCUGCGGUAACAAUCAUGGAUACUGGCUUUGCAACUCCAACUCAAUUACUCAAGUUUGACUCUUCCCAGCUGCCUCUUUGGUCUUCAAACUGAUUUCCAGAUUAUCAGGCCUUUAGACAGUACGGUGACUGUUUUGCUGCCACGUGGCUUUUUUGAUGGUUUUCAACUGAAUACAGUAAAAAUGUCAGAAAAUAAAAAUAUUCAACCUGAAGAAGUAAUA